This 390-nucleotide ribosomal RNA is filed under the name uncultured bacterium. RNAcentral's name for it is "bacterial SSU rRNA". It matches the Rfam family "Bacterial small subunit ribosomal RNA", at positions 36 to 453 of the family's 1533-position model. The record is from RNAcentral.
CUGGCGGCACGCCUAAUACAUGCAAGUCGAACGAAGUAGCAAUACUUAGUGGCAGACGGGUGAGUAACAUGUAGGUAUCUUCCCAUUGGUGAGGAAUAACACGAGGAAACUUGUGCUAAUACCUCAUAAGUCUUUACGGAGAAAGCUUUAUGCGCCGAUGGAUGAGCCUGCACUUGAUUAGUUUGUUGGUAGGGUAAUGGCCUACCAAGACAAUGAUCAAUAGCUGAUUUGAGAGGAUGAUCAGCCACAUUGGGACUGAGACACGGCCCAAACUCCUACGGGAGGCAGCAGUAGGGAAUCUUGCACAAUGGGGGAAACCCUGAUGCAGCGAUGCCGCGUGAGUGAAGAAGGCCUUUGGGUUGUAAAGCUCUUUCGUCGGGGAAGAAAAUG